Molecule: ribosomal RNA, 465 nt
Filed under: uncultured bacterium
Lineage: Bacteria
Description: partial 16S ribosomal RNA
Rfam family: Bacterial small subunit ribosomal RNA
Source: RNAcentral
GAUGAACGCUGGCGGCGUGCUUAACACAUGCAAGUCGAACGGAAAGGCUCCUGCUUGCAGGGGUACUCGAGUGGCGAACGGGUGAGUAACACGUGGGUGAUCUGCCCUGCACUUCGGGAUAAGCCUGGGAAACUGGGUCUAAUACCGGAUAGGACCACAUUUUGGAUGGUGUGGUGGAAAGUUUUUCGGUGUGGGAUGAGCUCGCGGCCUAUCAGCUUGUUGGUGGGGUAAUGGCCUACCAAGGCGUCGACGGGUAGCCGGCCCGAGAGGGUGUACGGCCACAUUGGGACUGAGAUACGGCCCAGACUCCUACGGGAGGCAGCAGUGGGGAAUAUUGCACAAUGGGCGCAAGCCUGAUGCAGCGACGCCGCGUGGGGGAUGACGGCCUUCGGGUUGUAAACUCCUUUCGCUAGGGACGAAGCGCAAGUGACGGUACCUGGAGAAGAAGCACCGGCUAACUACGUG